GACGAACGCUGGCGGCGUGCUUAACACAUGCAAGUCGAGCGGUAAGGCCCUUCGGGGUACGACGAGCGGCGAACGGGUGAGUAACACGUGGGUGACCUGCCCUCCACUCUGGGAUAAGCCCGGGAAACUGGGUCUAAUACCGGAUAUGACCUCUGGAUGCAUGUCUGGUGGUGGAAAGCCUGGGUUGUAUGACUCUGGCGGUGGGGGAUGGGCCCGCGGUCUAUCAGCUUGUUGGGGGGUGAUGGCCUACCAAGGCGACGACGGAUAGCCGGCCUGAGAGGGUGAUCGGCCACACUGGGACUGAGACACGGCCCAGACUCCUACGGGAGCAGCAGUGGGGAAUCUUGCGCAAUGGGCGGAAGCCUGACGCAGCAACGCCGCGUGGGGGAUGACGG
Molecule: ribosomal RNA, 395 nt
Filed under: uncultured bacterium
Lineage: Bacteria
Description: bacterial SSU rRNA
Rfam family: Bacterial small subunit ribosomal RNA
Source: RNAcentral